Molecule: ribosomal RNA, 527 nt
Filed under: uncultured bacterium
Lineage: Bacteria
Description: bacterial SSU rRNA
Rfam family: Bacterial small subunit ribosomal RNA
Source: RNAcentral
GGGCCUGCGUCGGAUUAGGUAGUUGGUGGGGUAAUGGCCUACCAAGCCUACGAUCCGUAGCUGGUCUGAGAGGAUGAUCAGCCACACUGGGGACUGAGACACGGCCCCAGACUCCUACGGGAGGCAGCAGUGGGGAAUAUUGGACAAUGGGCGCAAGCCUGAUCCAGCAAUGCCGCGUGAGUGAUGAAGGCCUUAGGGUUGUAAAGCUCUUUCACCGGGGAAGAUAAUGACGGUACCCGGAGAAGAAGCCCCGGCUAACUCCGUGCCAGCAGCCGCGGUAAUACGGAGGGGGCGUAGCGUUGUUCGGAAUUACUGGGCGUAAAGCGCGCGUAGGCGGCUUGACAAGUUGGAGGUGAAAGCCCGGAGCUCAACUUCGGAAUUGCCUUCAAGACUGUCUCGCUCGAGGCAGGGAGAGGAGAGCGGAAUACCCAGUGUAGAGGUGAAUUCGUAGAUAUUGGGUGGAACACCGGUGGCGAAGGCGGCUCUCUGGCCCUGAUCUGACGCUAAGGCGCGAAAGCGUGGGAGAC